CUGAAGGUAUUGCAUGAUGAGACAUUCCUUAUGGAACCUUUCUGGGCAAGGUCCAACGCUACUGAUAAUACCUUCAG
RNAcentral lists this small nucleolar RNA (77 nucleotides) under Ornithorhynchus anatinus (platypus). RNAcentral's name for it is "C/D box snoRNA Oa2939". Lineage: Eukaryota; Metazoa; Chordata; Mammalia; Monotremata; Ornithorhynchidae. The record is from RNAcentral.